RNAcentral lists this ribosomal RNA (549 nucleotides) under uncultured bacterium. Its description in RNAcentral is "bacterial SSU rRNA". It matches the Rfam family "Bacterial small subunit ribosomal RNA", at positions 356 to 896 of the family's 1533-position model. The record is from RNAcentral.
AGGGAAUCUUCGGCAAUGGACGGAAGUCUGACCGAGCAACGCCGCGUGAGUGAAGAAGGUUUUCGGAUCGUAAAGCUCUGUUGUAAGAGAAGAACGAGUGUGAGAGUGGAAAGUUCACACUGUGACGGUAUCUUACCAGAAAGGGACGGCUAACUACGUGCCAGCAGCCGCGGUAAUACGUAGGUCCCGAGCGUUGUCCGGAUUUAUUGGGCGUAAAGCGAGCGCAGGCGGUUAGAUAAGUCUGAAGUUAAAGGCUGUGGCUUAACCAUAGUACGCUUUGGAAACUGUUUAACUUGAGUGCAAGAGGGGAGAGUGGAAUUCCAUGUGUAGCGGUGAAAUGCGUAGAUAUAUGGAGGAACACCGGUGGCGAAAGCGGCUCUCUGGCUUGUAACUGACGCUGAGGCUCGAAAGCGUGGGGAGCAAACAGGAUUAGAUACCCUGAUAGUCCACGCCGUAAACGAUGAGUGCUAGGUGUUAGACCCUUUCCGGGGUUUAGUGCCGCAGCUAACGCAUUAAGCACUCCGCCUGGGGAGUACGACCGCAAGGUUG